Molecule: long non-coding RNA, 28582 nt
Filed under: Triticum aestivum (bread wheat)
Lineage: Eukaryota; Viridiplantae; Streptophyta; Magnoliopsida; Poales; Poaceae
Description: long non-coding RNA (TAES_LNC003690)
Source: RNAcentral
UCCGGGCUGGAUAACCCCACUGACUAUGCUGUCAAACCGAAUCUUGUGUGAUCCACCGGCAACUGUAACAUUGAAGUCGCACGAGGCGGGGAGGGUCACCUCAACGGCACCCCCAUCAUGGUUCACGUACGACUUCACGCCCAGAGGCAAGAGAGCCCGCAGGAAGUUGUUUUUCGCCAACAGGUCGUAUGCUGUGUCGGAGGUGGCCGCUUGGAGGAUGGAAGCCAUGAAUACGAUGAGGAGCAGAUGCUGGAUGGCCAUGGCUAGCUAACUGUUGCUGCUUACAAAUUGUAUCAAGGAAUAUGAGGAACUGAGAAGUAAGUGUAGACUGAGGCCCUGGCCACGUAUUAUAUAUGCUGCCCAACGAAAUCAAAGUCAAUCGUGCUUUAAUUGCAUUUAUUUUGUUCCUGAUUGUCACUCCAUCAACCGCCUCAUCAAAUAUGCUAAAAAUAUCAUCCCAUUAAAUCAUAUUUAUUUCUGGCCUAGAACAUUCUAUAGUUAAUGGUUAUGCCAAAACGUUCCUCAAAUCUUCAUAAUCAAUACGUACCAUAAAAUGAGACUGAAAUUUCAGAGCAACAUUCAUUUACGUACUUCACAGCCGACAUAUGAAACAUAUGCAAAAACCUAAAAAUGAAUCAAGGGGAAACAUCAACAUCCCAACAGUUUGAUCCUUGAUGUUGGCUUGGGUACCAAUGAGGCUUCUCUUCUCUUCAAAUAAUGUUGUGCAGUGCAACUAAAACAUAAAACACCCGCAAGAAAGAAAUAUUUCAUUUAGAUAUACUUGAGUUUUACAUGAGUAUGCGGUGCAAUAGAAUGAUUAUCUCCCAUUGUGCAGAUCAUCUCUUUCAGGAUGCCUACUCAGGCCAGCACAGACUCAUACAUAACAUCUCCGUCAAAGUUUCCACACUGUUAUAGCAUGAACUCCCAGACCGUGAGAGAGGCUCAGUACCCAUAUCCAAAAUGAAGAGUGCGGAGGAGCAGGUGCCUACCCCUCCACCUUCCACUUCUCUUAAAAUUUUCCUGUGCAAUGCAACUAAACUAAAAAACAACUCCAAGCAAUAUAUUCAAUUUAGAUCUUGUUACGUCUCCAACGUAUUUAUAUUUUUUUAUUGUUCCAUGCUAUUAUAAUUGUUGGGUCAUGAGCCAAAAGCAAGCCAUCGAACAUGCCAGUGUUGGAUUGGAUGAGAUUGUCGACCGCCUGAAGGAGGUUCUCAUCGUGAUCCUUGAAGAGCCGGUCCAGACCUACGGUGAAAUACGCUCGUUGAAGCGCGUACACGCCGCACCUUUCCUCGGACGGCUUGUCCAUCGCCUCCGCUCACGGCCGAUCACGCCACCGCGUCCCGUGAUGGUGUCGCGGCAACUCCAGGACCACUUAAUCUUAUACCAAUUGUGAGCAACUCACCUGAUCAAGAGGAAUUGCUAGGGAUUAGAAUUCGAAAUUGCGGAAAUUGGUUCGUUAGCUAGCCGUCCGUCCACCCUCACAGCUACACUACACCGCCUGUUGCCAUCAUCCAAUUCCCAGCCAGGAGAUAGGAGAGAGUUAUAAUUCCUACUAGCUUAGCCCGCGCGGCGACACGCCGCGCCCAUCGAUCAGUCACGACUAUGUAGACUAUGGUCCAAGCAAUAGAGUAAUAAGUAGUUAUGAUGAAAUUUGUUGCAUGACUUGAGGCUUUUUAGCAAAUUGUUUUGUUCACAACAAUUUAUAGACACAAAUAUCUAUCUUUCAUGGAAACUUUUAGUUUAUUUUGUACAUAGCAAGGGUCUGUUCACCAAGUUGAAACAAAUAGACAACAUGACCAAAAGUAAGGAACUUCGAAACAGUGCUUUCGUAGCUAAAAUUUAAUAAUUUUUCACAUUUCAUAACAUAAAUACUUAACUAAAACUUACAUCUGAUCCGAAGUACAACCAUUGAGACAGUAAAAAAACAACUAUUUUGAUCAUCACAAAAAAAUUAAUGUGCAUUUCAUGGAAAAAGUUUAGAGACAAAAUAAUUUAGCCAAGAGAAAAACUAUUUCAGAUCACAAAAGGCGCUCCAAAGAGUAAUUGUGUAUAUUAUUCAAAAGAACACUUUGUUACCUUCAGAGGCUUUAAUUAGCCCCAUUGCAUCUUGUGGAAUCAUGCAGUGAUACAAAUUCUUACCAUAAACAACAAAAUUAAGCAGCUCUUAAUAUAGAAACAACCAUAUCACUCUGAAUCAAGGGAGCAUGAUGCGAUGAACUGAUGAUGGGGAAUCUAUGGUGGCAUAUACCCAGGAAACAGUGUUCAUGGAAACUUUGUUAAACAACCCCUUGCUCAGCUUAAAAGUAUUCCUUCCUGGGUCUCCACUGAAACAAAGCUAUAUUUAUACACCCACAUGUGAGAACAAUAUGAGCCAUUGUUUGAUAUAAAACCAACAAUGCUUGAACAUACUUGUUUCUCUACCUCACCAUGUGGCGGCCAGAAAAAGCUUUAACAAAUUAAAAACCACUUGCAAAUUGAAGUUGAGAGCCUUCACUUAUUUCUCGAAAUGGAAGGAGGAAGGGGCCUUAAUUUGUCCCAGUAACCCCAUGAAUAUAAUUAGCCAAAUAUGCGGCAUUUCAUCUUAUUACACGGUCAUGCUGAAGGAGGGAACAUCAAUAAAAUUAGGCAUAAGAAAUCCAUCAAAUGAAGAGAGAUGUACUUAGAAAUAAGAAUAACAAACAUUCUCAGAUACUAUGUACCUUAUCCUGCCUCUAAGAAUAUGUCAAGAAGGUGAAUCAUUCACUUUUAUGUUACCGUUGCUGACAACGGACAACUGUGGAUGGAAACAAAAUUCUCGGCAAUGCAUAUAUGAAACUAAGUAACAUGACUUAGAAAAUAUAAUGUAAAAUAUCACAAUAAACUACUACUAAGUAUGUUCAAUAGUAAUACAACCUCAGUUUGUACCCCGGAAAUUUCUAUCACCAAAACAUCUUAGAAAGUUCAGUGCCAGUGAUGUGCCUGCCAUAAAACCGAAUGCCAAUUUUCAGUUAAAAAAUAACCGCGCAAGACCAUAUUCUUCUGCCACCAAGGGUAUAUGAUCGAGUGGGGCCAACUAAAGACAUGCCCCACGAUUCCAUUUUUUAAUGUAUGUUGUUGUAUAAUGAAUGACGGGCUUGUAUGCUUACAUGACUAUUUGGUUUUUGAUGUGAUGAAAAUUGGAGGGAAAGAUGCUGGACGGACUAAUUUGAUCAAUCAGGUGAGUAGAAGUAUUAGAGUUUUGGCCAUCUCAUCCAUUAAAUUUGGAUGGAGGGUAUGCAUCUUAAUAUGAUAAACAUAUAUGCAUACCGUAUAUGGGUUAUAUACAUAUAAAAAUCAGUGCAGCAGGCCUUUUUUCUGAAUCUAAACAUCUUGGUGGCCGAGUUCCAGUGUGAAAAUAUUGGUUUUAGUCCCUGGUCAAAUGGACUGAUGCAUAUUAUGUUUGGUUGUACCACGAAAAAUAAUUUGGUUGCUUUAAGAUAUUCAACCGAGGUAGACGAUGCAAUUUUGGCUGACAUGAAGUUUUACGAUCAUCAAUACAGCAGAAUAUGCAAAAGAUGGGAUAAAGCAAGUCAUAUCUACUCCCUCAGUCCCAUAAUAUAACAGCGUUUUUGACAUGAUGGAGGGAGUAGUUUGUUUAUUUGUUUGAGGAACACUUAUUUGCGGAGAAUAAUGAAGUGUGCUUGCACCGGUAGACAUGAGAUGAACUUGAACAAACGAUCUGCAUUCAUAUAUGCAUUGUACCAGAAAUCAGUGCUGCUCUGACUUGCCUCUGCAUUGCCUCUGAACCAGUGUUGAUCUAUAUCGGAGAUCAGGAAUUUACUCAUCAGGUCACUGCAUCUACUUUAUUGCGAUUAAACCACCAAACUCAAAGAAAUACCAGCAAUUUAUUUAAUAGUCUUAUUUGACUUUUUAUUCAGAACGCAUUGAGCUAUUUCUUUUUCCGAGCUACAUUCUUGUACAUUGGAUUCUCAAGGAGCAUCACUUGCGAGACAUGUCUUCACAUACUACCAUUUCAGAACACCACUCCCUUCACGCACAGGACAUACAUGUUCUACAUCCACCCCUCACACUCCUAAUUUCAAACCGAGUUGGCAGGCUAUUGUAAGGAAGGUAAGCAACCUUCUAGAUGGAAUAUUGGAAUUUACUCUGGCAAGGUAGGUCUUAAACAUAUUAUCAUCUGGCUAUCUACUGUUUGAGCUCCCCAUGCUGCUAACACCAUCAAAUAUUGUUUGCUCCGUACAUCUUCAUAUGCCAAUUUGACCUUUUUUUGGCAGACACAGUAUCUCAGAACAUCUAAAUUGACUCCUUGCAUAGGUCUCUGAAUUGACACAAUCAGAAGGAUAAAACAAUCGCUAGAGCUCUUAUAGGAAGUCACCCAUCAUUUGACUUAGACUAAAGAAGGUGUCUAUCAGAAAAAAAGGAACAAAAAGUAAGUGCGAAGAAACACAUGUAGGGUUGCACAUAAUUUGUAAGAGAUGAUCAAGGCAUAUAGUUGCAGCAAGUAGCAAAUGGCAUGAAUUUAUUCAUGAUGCACUCACGCAUCAAGGGUGUAAAUCUUCUUUAGCUAGGUCCAAAUGCAGAUAGAUACAGUACAGGAAUGAUGUGUGAUAUGUCAUUGUAGGUUUCAGACCUGAUGAAAAGUUUAUUACAGUACAUGAAAAAUAUUCAUGAAACGGUUAUACAGUACAUGAAUGAUGAGAAAUCGGAAAUUUCUGUACAGGAGUGAUGUAUAAUAAAUUGCUGAGAGGAAUAAAGAAGAUGCAGAAUGUCUGAAACUUCUCAAAACCAGAGACAAUUAUACAAAAGCUACCUGACCGAGUAUACGGCUAGGAAUCUGCCUAAUUCAGUGUCUCUUAUAACCCGCCAACGACUACGGCGUAAUCACCAUCACUGCGGCUCAACCAGAAUUCGAUCGAAUAAUGAGGCAAAUGAAGUAGCUAAUAUGGGGUAAAUGCACACUAACUUGGCAGCAAGAACAGAUGGGUCGUAAGCGCCUUCAGUGACCCUACGACCUGCAAAUGGCAGUAUACAGACAGUACGCCUUUACUCCGAAUAACCGAGGAGGAGCUGUCCUUAUGCUCUUUUUUUUGCGGGGGAGCUGUCUUUAUCCUCCACUCAAGCUAGCUAUACUUACAAAGUUAGAGCUAUAUAAAGUUUUGAAGCGUAGCGCUGUGAAUGGAUCACUCGUCCAGCAGCCUCCUGACACAUAAAAUAGGCAGAGCGAGCAUUACAAGGUCCCAUAACUCGGGGUCAGGCUUCUCGAACACGAUGACGCGCACCACCGUGCGCCACGCCGACGCCAGGUAGUAGAGCGCGGGCCUCUUGCACUGGUUGUGCGCCAGGGGCUUCAUGUUGAAUGCGCGCGCCUUGUAGUCGGCGGGCCAGUACCAGUUCAUGAACGUCCGCGCCGGCAUCUGCAUCUCCCGCGCCAGCACGACGCCCUCGGCACCGUCACCACGAACCCCCACGCCACUGACACCAUCCACCAGUUCGCCGCGAUGUAGCAUAUCGACUGGUGCAUCACCCCCGUCGAACAGCCUCCGCAGAGACGCCGGGCGCGAACGCACGUUGGGGAUAAGCGGUCGAGGUGGUGCAGCGAGUCAGCGACACCAGCGGUGCCACCUGGUGGGCGGCGAGGAGGCCUAGGAGGUCACCAUACACGCCUUACUCGUGGAAGCCCGAGUGUCGGCACUCCCAGCUCCGCCAUGCCCCAUGCACGAUGUAGUAGGGGACGGCGAGGAGGUUGUUCGGGAGGAAGACCGUGUUGUCGACUUGUCGUCACCCAUGACGAACCAGCGUACACCUGGGAGACUGAGGCGGAAGGUCUCGGAGAUGACGGUCGACGUGUGAGAUGCAUGCGGAUGGCAGAGCGAUGACCGUGCGUGUAGGAGAAACCGGAGGUAUCCGGUAAGAUCUUGAUGUAUAUGCACUCCUUCCGCUUCUCCAACAGGCGCGCCAACGCCGUGAAGCCGAACACUACAGCGUAAUCGUCGUUGUCAACACCGUGGCCGUGGCAGGUUGCGGUGGUGGUGGCGUACUCGUCGUCAACACCACCGUAUCUGUGGAGGGUGGUGGUGGCAUCCUCGCCGUCGACACCACCGUGACCGUGGCGGGCAUCAGCAGGGGCCUCGCCAGCGGCAACGUGACUAAUCAGGAGGAUAGCGUUGUGGGCGGCUUCUUCUGGGUGGAGGCAGCCGGGCGCUGCCACGCUGGGCAAGAUGCUAUGUGCGAAGAAGAGCCCUUUUAUAGGCCAGUACGGCGGUGAAUGGGUGGCUGGGUUAUGCACCGCACUGGAGCAGAGUUUUCGGGAGCGUCUAGAACACACGGCUGGACAACAGCAGUAGUAACAAAAAGGUACAUAUCGAUUGGGCCAGAAGCGGUCACGACAGAAAUACAGAGAAGCAUCGAUGUGUCUGGAAAGGGAGAUUUCGAUUGGGCCAGAAGCGGCCGCGACAGAAAUACAGAGAAGCAUCGAUGUGUCAACCAAGCGAUCGCCACACCCGUUGAAGAAAUUUGAAUCAAAAAACUGAACACACCACUCAUUUCUACCCUGCCGUGUACCAAAAAAAUACCACGCGCCAUACCCACAACUCACCAUAGGUCACUUUCAUCCAAUUGGUUUAAUCUCAAAGCGAAAACCUUGCCUGCAAUAGAGGCUUGGGUAUUUAAACUAGUGAUCGCUAACAUAGUAGAAGGGCGUGCUCAUAGUCCAUCAACCAUCGCGGUGGGUUGAUCUCGAACCUAGGCUGCGGUUAGAGCAUAAAAAUUGUAUGCGAUAUUGAGUCCAUCACACAAAGUUAGAACAUACAAACUAUGUGCAAUAGGAAGGGUCCAUCACACACGGUUAUAAUUAAAAAUCGUGUGCUCGGAUGGGUUGGCGAUUGGGGUGCCAAUACACACGCUUUCAAAACGGUGUGCGAUGAAUGGGCUCGACUAGGUCUAACAUAAGUGCUACAUUAUACAAUUAUUCAUUUUUUACAAGCAAACAUAGCACCAGACAUAAUUCACAAUUGGACAACCCAUCGCACACUCUACGAUAUUUUGUUCUGCCAUUUCUCUACUAAUGGACAAAAGGCACUCGGCUUACAUCGGUAUGCCAACAUGAUGUACCUUGAGUGCGUUACGCUGAGUGUCAAACCCGCCGAGGCAAAAUCAGCCUUUGCUAGGGGGUCUGCACACCCAAUGGCGGAGCUAUGUUGGNNNNNNNNNNNNNNNNNNNNNNNNNNNNNNNNNNNNNNNNNNNNNNNNNNNNNNNNNNNNNNNNNNNNNNNNNNNNNNNNNNNNNNNNNNNNNNNNNNNNNNNNNNNNNNNNNNNNNNNNNNNNNNNNNNNNNNNNNNNNNNNNNNNNNNNNNNNNNNNNNNNNNNNNNNNNNNNNNNNNNNNNNNNNNNNNNNNNNNNNNNNNNNNNNNNNNNNNNNNNNNNNNNNNNNNNNNNNNNNNNNNNNNNNNNNNNNNNNNNNNNNNNNNNNNNNNNNNCGCCACUGUGCACACCCAGCUUAAUAUGCUUUCUUGUAGUGGAGAAAUUUCAACGUAUGAUGUAAAAUAGCCGUUGUGUCAAAAGAAUUGACAGUUAGGUCACUUUGGGCCAAAAAAAGUAUCCAAAAGAUGCCCUAUAUACCUAUAUGUUGCAAAAUAAAAUUACCCAAAAUUUUGUCACACACAUCUAGUAGCUGCGUUGAAACCAAAAACAAUGCAGCAGGAACCCAACCACUAGCGAUGAGACUACCCCACCGCCGACAGUCGCCACCCCACACCUACUCUGACCGACUGUGCAGCGCAUGCCGCCGCCGCGACUCAAUCGGCCAUUCUCAGCCCCGCUACCACCCUGCCGCUUGGGAUGUCCGCUACCAAAUCUUGGGCCGGCGCAUCCGAUUCCACCGACUCUGGCCAUAGAAAGUUGGUGUAGCUACCGGGACAUCCCCCUUCAGUAUUUUGGCUAAUUUUGAACUUUUUGUCCGGAUCACAAGAAAAUGUUAGUAUCGUCCAUGUUGCUGAAGGGGAAUUACUACUUGGGGAUUUGCUCACUGAAUAUUGGAAUAUACUUACUUUAUGCAUGCCAUCAAAUAUAGCUCAUCCCCUGAAAGAACAAAGAUUGCUGAUGUUUUUUUCCACGGUUUUCUAAACAAUGUUGAUCUUUUUCAGAGAAAUGCAAUGAUUAUUUUUAGAGAACAUUCUGCAAAUCAACUAAAUAAGAGUCUAGGCAUUCUUCUUGUUUUUUUCGGGGGGAAGGUGUCUAGGCAUUUAUUAACAUGUAGAACUUACAAUGCAUGGGGAAUGAAAGAUCAAAUAUACCUUGCUCUCCUUUCUUAUUUUAGUGGCUGUUAAUGUCAUCAUAAAGAAUAUUACACAUUAGGAUUGAGUUGUUUUGCUCUUCUAUUUUCCAGUAAGCCCUGCGAUAUUUUACAACCCAUCGGACACCCUUGUGGAUCUGAUGCUAUGUAGAUCAAGAUUAUUUCUAAUUACCUGCGAGACACCGACAAAGUAUAUCAUGUGGAAUUUCUUGUUCCUGUGGUUAGACUGGAUCAGAAUCUAUCAGUUGAUUUUUAAAUCCGUGUUCUACAGCUCUAAGGUAGCCUCUCUGGUAGUCCCUAGUUCCUAAAUUUGUUGUUUGUUAAUUGAAGUCGAUGCCCAGAAUUGUUUUUCACAAUCCAAUCAUUGGAUAGGAUUAGUGUGUUGAAAACUGCACUAUCUGUGCUUCAUUUAAAGAUGACACAAAAAUUAAUUUUGUAAUUGUUGUGGAUUGCAUUCCAAUCGAACCCAAUUUGCUCAGUUUGGAUUAAUGGUUGCUGAGGUAUCACCAGAAUGGUGCUGCUGUACAAGUAUUUUCAAAGUUGAGCAGAUAUUGUUUUUGCAACUUUUAACAAAUUUCUAUUCGCAAGAACUAGUCUAUAUUCAGAUAUGACCAGUUUCUUAUUACAACAUGCAUGAAAGACGUAGAUAACUUCAUGUUGAAUAUCCUGAUUUGUUUAUUUUCUUCAUUUUGUAAAAUGGAUCAUGAUUUAUAUCCUAGAAAUUCAUAUAUGACGUGCUUUGGAGUUCAAAUUAAAUGGAGAAUCCAAGCUAUGCUUGUAUAUUUACCUAAUAAUAAUUAAUGGGCUAGCUCUAGGAGAUAUUUAUACAUAUACUAUUAGGUAUUAGGAUGUUCAAGAGCCAAGAACAAUACAUAAAAAUUUUAUGUUUAUAUUAAAGGGGCCUCGGGUUUUACUUUCGCCCCGGGCCCCCGAAAUGUCAGGACCGGCCCUGGGAGCAAGCAGCAAGGGAUCAUCGGCUCCGGUGGCGAUGAUAGGCGGCACUGGUGAGACAGCGAACGACAACGCAUGAAGCAAGCAGUAAUGGAUCGCCGUCUCUCGUGGCGAUGAUCCGCAUCAGCGGCUGUGGGACGGCUAAUGACGACAUGCAGAGCAAGCAGCAAGGGAUCGCCGCUCGCCGGCUCCAUCAUGAUGAUCUUCGGCGGCGGUGAGACAGCCGAUGACGACGCACGAAGCAAGCAGCAAGGGACCGCCGUCUCUCACAGCGAUGAUCUGCAAUGGCGGUGAGACGGCUGAUGACGACGCGCGGAGCAAGAAGCAAGGGAUCGUUGUCUCCCCCAACGAUCAUCUUGCCUUGGCGCUGGGAGCGGUUAGCGCGGUCGCAGGGCGACCUUCAACAGCAUGACGAAAAACGUGGAGAGCUCGGUGGCGGCAUGGGUGAUCGCCACUGUUCCUGGUUCUGCUCGGUGUUGUGUUCUUCCUCCGGGACUUGAUGCAUUUAUUUCCGGUACGUGUGCGUGGCUAUCCAGUUUAAAAGACAACAACCACGGAAAUCCAUAACUCUUGGACUUCGGACCUACCUUUCGUGCUCCGCCUCCUAGUAAAGUGCCUCAGUCAGUGGGUUACCCUCCUUUCUUAUUUUAGUGGCUGUUAAUGUCAGAUAUCAUAAAGAAUAUUACCACAUUAGGAUUGAGUUGUUUUGUUCUUCUAUUUUCCAGUAAGCCCUAUGAUAUAUAACCUAUCGGACAGCCCUAGAUCUGAUGCUAUGUAGAUCAAGGUUAUUUCUAAUUACCCACGAGACUCCGACAGAGUAUAUCAUGUGGAAUUUCUUGUUCUUAUAGUUAGGAUGAACCGUUGCAACAUCGUCUCGCAAUAAAUAAUUGUGCAAAAAAAUUAUGAUCAUUCACAAUAAUAUUGGAUCUCGAAACCAUGACUUAUUACAUAAUCAGUUUAUUCACUCUACAUAAAGCAGCGGACUCAUAGAGACAUAUGCAUAUUGGAUAGUACAUUAUAUGGAAGGCGUGCAUGCAUCCCUAACCGAUCACACCCUUAGUUGCACCUGGGGCUCUGCACGAUUGCUAACCGGAAAUGACUGGUCAAACGUGGCUGCAUGCUCACUACCAGUAAACCUAAGCUUGUCACCGACACGUUGAACCGUAUGGAAUGCAAGAAAAUGCCACUCAAACUGGAUCCUGACGCCGCCCCAAUUGAGUAAUGGAUCCGGGCUGGAUAACCCCACUGACUAUGCUGUCAAACCGAAUCUUGUGUGAUCCACCGGCAACUGUAACAUUGAAGUCGCACGAGGCGGGGAGGGUCACCUCAACGGCACCCCCAUCAUGGUUCACGUACGACUUCACGCCCAGAGGCAAGAGAGCCCGCAGGAAGUUGUUUUUCGCCAACAGGUCGUAUGCUGUGUCGGAGGUGGCCGCUUGGAGGAUGGAAGCCAUGAAUACGAUGAGGAGCAGAUGCUGGAUGGCCAUGGCUAGCUAACUGUUGCUGCUUACAAAUUGUAUCAAGGAAUAUGAGGAACUGAGAAGUAAGUGUAGACUGAGGCCCUGGCCACGUAUUAUAUAUGCUGCCCAACGAAAUCAAAGUCAAUCGUGCUUUAAUUGCAUUUAUUUUGUUCCUGAUUGUCACUCCAUCAACCGCCUCAUCAAAUAUGCUAAAAAUAUCAUCCCAUUAAAUCAUAUUUAUUUCUGGCCUAGAACAUUCUAUAGUUAAUGGUUAUGCCAAAACGUUCCUCAAAUCUUCAUAAUCAAUACGUACCAUAAAAUGAGACUGAAAUUUCAGAGCAACAUUCAUUUACGUACUUCACAGCCGACAUAUGAAACAUAUGCAAAAACCUAAAAAUGAAUCAAGGGGAAACAUCAACAUCCCAACAGUUUGAUCCUUGAUGUUGGCUUGGGUACCAAUGAGGCUUCUCUUCUCUUCAAAUAAUGUUGUGCAGUGCAACUAAAAUAUAAAACACCCGCAAGAAAGAAAUAUUUCAUUUAGAUAUACUUGAGUUUUACAUGAGUAUGCGGUGCAAUAGAAUGAUUAUCUCCCAUUGUGCAGAUCAUCUCUUUCAGGAUGCCUACUCAGGCCAGCACAGACUCAUACAUAACAUCUCCGUGAAAGUUUCCACAAUGUUAUAGCAUGAACUCCCAGACUGUGAGAGAGGCUCAGUACCCAUAUCCAAAAUGAUGAGUGCGGAGGAGCAGGUGCCUACCCCUCCACCUUCCAUUUCUCUUAAAAUUUUCCUGUGCAAUGCAACUAAACUAAAAAACAACUCCAAGCAAUAUAUUCAAUUUAUAUCUUGUUGGGUUAUGAUACGUCUCCAACGUAUUUAUAUAUUUUUUAUUGUUCCAUGCUAUUAUAAUUGUUGGGUCAUGAGCCGAAAGCAAGCCAUCGAACAUGCCAGUGUUGGAUUGGAUGAGAUUGUCGACCGCCUGAAGGAGGUUCUCAUCAUGAUCCUUGAAGAGCCGGUCCAGACCUACGGUGAAAUACGCUCGUUGAAGCACGUACACGCCACACCUUUCCUCGGACGGCUUGUCCAUCGCCUCCGCUCACGGCCGAUCACGCCACCGCGUCCCGUGAUGGUGUCACGGCAACUCCAGGACCACUUAAUCUUAUACCAAUUGUGAGCAACUCACCUGAUCGAGAGGAAUUUCUAGGGAUUAGAAUUCGAAAUUGCGGAAAUUGGUUUGUUAGCUAGACGUCCGUCCACCCUCACAGCUACACUACACCGCAUGUUGCCAUCAUCCAAAUCCCAGCCAGGAGAUAGGAGAGAAGUAUAAUGCCUACUAGCUUAGCCCGCGCGGCGACACGCCGCGCCCAUCGAUCAGUCGCGACUAUGUAGACUAUGGUCCAAGCAAUAGAGUAAUAAGUAGUUAUGAUGAAAUUUGUUGCAUAACUUGAGGCUUUUUAGCAAAUUGUUUUGUUCACAACAAUUUAUAGACACAAAUAUCUAUCUUUCAUGGAAACUUUUAGUUUAUUUUGUACAUAGCAAGGGUCUGUCCACCAAGUUGAAACAAAUACACAACAUGACCAAAAGUAAGGAACUUCGGAACAGUGCUUUCGUAGCUAAAAUUUAAUAAUUUUUCACAUUUCAUAACAUAAAUACUUAACUAAAACUUACAUCUGAUCUGAAGUACAACCAUUGAGACAGUAAAAAAACCACUAUUUUGAUCAUCACAAAAAAAUUAAUGUGCAUUUCAUGGAAAAAGUUUAGAGACAAAAUAAUUUAGCCAAGAGAAAAACUAUUUCAGAUCACAAAAGGCGCUCCAAAGAGUAAUUGUGUAUAUUAUUCAAAAGAACACUUUGUUACCUUCAGGCUUUAAUUAGCCCCAUUGUAUCUUGUGGAAUCAUGCAGUGAUACAAAUUCUUACCAUAAACAAAAAAAUUAAGCAGCUCUUAAUAUAGAAACAACCAUAUCACUCUGAAUCAAGGGAGCAUGAUGCGAUGAACUGAUGACGGGGAAUCUAUGGUAGCAUAUACCCAGGAAACAGUGUUCAUGGAAACUUUGUUAAACAACCCCUUGCUCAGCUUAAAAGUAUUCCUUCCUGGGUCUCCACUGAAACAAAGCAAUAUUUAUACACCCACAGGUGAGAACAAUAUGAGAUUGUUUGAUAUAAAACCAACAAUGCUUGAACAUACUUGUUUCUCUACCUCACCAUGUGGCAACCAGAAAAAGCUUUAACAAAUUAAAAACCACUUGCAAAUUGAAGUUGAGAGCCUUUACUUAUUUCUCGAAAUGGAAGGAGGAAGGGGCCUUAAUUUGUCCCAGUAACCCCAUGAAUAUAAUUAGCCAAAUAUGUGGCAUUUCAUCUUAUUACAUGGUCAUGCUGAAGGAGGGAACAUCAAUAAAAUUAGGCAUAAGAAAUCCAUCAAAUGAAGAGAGAUGUACUUAGAAAUAAGAAUAACAAACAUUCUCAGAUACUGCUUUCUGCCACGGAUGGCUCUCCUUCUUCGGAUGCUGCUUUUUAUCGGUCUGUCGUUGGUGCUCUCCAGUACCUUACUCUGACUCGACCGGAGAUCCAGUAUGCCGUGCAACAUGUGUGUCUUCAUAUGCAUGCUCCUCGAGACAUUCACUGGGCUGCCGUCAAGCGGAUUCUCCGCUAUAUCUGUGGCACUAUGGAUCUUGGCGUCACGCUUCACGCCUCCGCCGACACCGCCCUGCGUACUCCGAUGCAGACUGGGCGGGCUGCCCUGACACUCGUCGUUCCACUUCGGGCUACUGUGUCUACCUUGGACCCUCACUUAUCUCGUGGUCGUCCAAGCGGCAGCCUACGGUCUCUCGUUCUAGUGCUGAGGCUGAGUAUCGUGCGGUGGCCAACGCCGUCGCCGAGUGUUCGUGGCUUCGCCAGCUGCUUCAGGAGCUCUCUUGUCCUGUUGACCGUGCCACGGUGGUCUACCGCGACAACGUCUCGGCGGUCUAUCUCUCCGCUAACCCGGUGCAUCAUCGACGGACCAAACAUAUUGAGUUGGAUAUUCAUUUUGUUCGGGAACAGGUGGCCCUUGGCCAUAUUCGUGUUUUACACGUCCAUACUUCCCAACAAUUUGCCGAUAUCAUGACCAAGGGCUUGCCUACGGCGUCAUUUGAGGAGUUCCAGUCUAGUCUUUGCGUCAGCCGCGGUGCCGCUUCGACUAGGGGGGGGGGGUGUUGAGUAUAUGUGUUAUGUGCAUAUUGCGUAUUGGGCCCGCCUUCUAGUUCAUUGUAUAGUUGAGGUCCGUGGCCCACCUUUAUACAUCAUAUAUACGUGCCUAUGCAUGAAGAGUAAUACAUCGUGCAAUUGCCACAACUCACAAUGUUGAACACGCCACUCCUCAAGAUCGUUGCAGCCUCGCUGCACCAGCGUCGUGAUUUUUCUGGCAAGCCGUUGGUCCCUGAUAUUAGCUGACGUUAGCUGACACAAGGGUCCCACUACGGCCGCCAUCGCUUGCCCCUUUGUUGUCGAUGCCAGGUGGGCCACUCACUUCAGCUCCUUCUCCAAGCCAGCCAGUUAAUCAGGUCACAAAACCAGCCAUGGAGCACCCCACCGAAUCCAGCCAAUCAGGUAUAGAACCUGUUGGCAUAAGCCAUGCCAUGUGCGGUGGCGACUGGCGUUGGGCGCGCCAGGUGUGUGUCCGUGUAUGCGUGGGAGAGGCCACCCGAGUCGUGUGUGCUGUGACAGUUCGUGCAUGCAUGUAGCUGGAUUAGUGGUCGCAGGUGGUGACCAAGCCACACGGGUCAUACGUGCAUCUAGUCUAGGUAGUUAGUAUAAGGAUGCAUGCAUUGGUUAGCGUGUUAGACGGCCAGUGGUGGUUGGAUUACUACGGCCCUGUUUGGUUCAUAAGUCCUACGAUUUUUUUAGUCCCAACUUAUAAGUUUCAAGUCCCUAAAAAGUCCCUACCUGUUUGGUUCCUGCGACUUAUAAGUCCCUAUAAGACCAUAUUACAACUAUAAGACCCUAUACGUUCCUCCUUGAAAGUCUUAUUUCAUAAGUCCCAAAUGCCUAGUUUAAGUCCCUAUAAGUCCCUCCUGUUUGGUUUAGAUGGGACUUACAAGGACUUUUUUAAGUCUCUUGUAACGUCCCGGAUACAACUUUCCAUAUUCGUAACUCCAACUCUUGCCUUUUCCGGAGAUGCGAUAUGAUAUUUCCUUCGUGGUUGGGUUUUGUCUGUUGUUUUGCAUUUUGUUCUUGUUAUGCAUCUCAUCUCAUGUCAUCAUUCGCAUUGCAUCGGCAUUGUUUUCGUAAAACUUGCAUCAGUGGCCUAAAAAUGUUCUCGGAAUGGGAUGCAACUUGGCGUGCGGUCUUAUUAUAGUGUAGACAGACCGCCUGUCAAGUUUCGUCGCAUUCGGAGUCCGUUUGACUGCCCAACCGUUAAACAUAUAGCGGCACCGUUGCCGGUGUUUUCGCUGGACGUUUCGGUCUCCGGAACAGUUGCCGGGCCUCACUUCUCUUCUCUCCUCUCAGUCGAGGCCUCUCUUCACAGCCCACCUAGACCCCCUAUGUCCGGAGCUGCACGAUCGCGAUCGUACGGCUCGAAAACCCCUCCAACCCUAAUCUUAACCUCCUGCCCUAUUUAAACCACCUUCCCCUUCCAAUUUUGGCAGCCUCCCCCCUCCUCCUCUUUUUCCGCAACACCCAACCCGCAGCCACCUCCUCCCACCUCGGGGGCCGCGCCGCCGCCUUCCCCCCUUCCAGAUCCGGCGCGCCCCAGCCUCCCUCCGCCACUUGUCAAGCCCCUAGUGGCCAGCCACCGCCACAUCGUCGCCUCCAACCACUCUGGGAGCGCCACAUGGCCUCGCCGCGUCCUCCUCGCCGCCGAGGCCCGCGGAAGCCCGCAACCGGACCACCCCGGGCCGCAUCUGGCCUCGGCGCACCCACUCCCCCACAACCGUGCCGUCUCCCUGCUCGCCCGAGCGAUCCAGAUCGGGAGAGGAGCUCCCGAUCCAGAUCGUGCCUCGCCGCCGCCUCUGGCCGAAGCCAUCUCGCCGCCGUCUCACCGCCCCGGCGGACCCAGGUCGCUGCCGCCCGGUCUCUCUCUCCCUUCCCUUUCUCCUUCCUCCCCUCACCAGCUCUCUCUCCCCCGCAGCUAGCCGCCGCCGCCAUGAACGCCUCCACCGAGCUCCGCCGUGGGCAUCACCACCUCACCGCCGGCCUCCUUCCGCCAGAUCCGGGCAGGGGAUGGUCGGAUCCAUCCAUCCCCAACCUCCCGCCGACCCCUACAACACCGGAGCGUUGCCCCGCCGCCGGUCUCCACCGCGUCGACCUCCUGCCUCGUCCUCGUUCGGGCAGAGGACGAGGGCAUCCUCCUCGCGCACGUGGGCCAGCGCGUCGCCCUGCUGGUGGGUCACCCCACCUCCAAGGCCCACGUCGCCUCGGCCCAGCCCCGACCGGCCUCAAGGCCCGAUGUGAGCAGCUCCCCGACGCCUGGGCCAGAUCUCAGAUUCGGCCCAGCGUAGUUUUUUUUCCGCUCUGCGAUUUGCUAAUUAUCCAGAGUUUGCAUAUUUACAGAUUAACCCUCCAUGUUCAUGCAUAUAAUAACUCAUGAACCGUGCAUCGGAUUUAAAUAAUUUAUAUAUGUAAAAUGCUUAGAAUUUUGUGUAGAUUAAUAAUAUGCUGCUUGCAUCCAUGUUUAAAAUGUUGUUUGCAUUUAAUUUGCUCAAAUGCCAUGCAAAAAUGAUUUAUUUCAUAACUAAAUAACCGUAGCUCGGAAUUUAAUAAACUUUAUAUGUAAAUGGGGUGGAAAAAUGGCUAGAUUAACAUGGUGCACUUUAUUUUGCUGUUUAACAAUAUUAAAAUUGUGUUUAGGGCAAAACAGUACCGAAUCUAAAAUAUGCACAUGGGGAUUUUUCCGGAAUUGUUGUUUGUUGUUUCCGGCCUCACUUAAACUUGCCUAGAUAGGUAGUUUAAUUAUGUUUCACCUCUUGCCAUGUUUAACAACAUUUAAUAUUGUUGUGUACCUAAACGAGAGCGAACUAAAUAACUCAGAUGUGGUGUUUCGUCAAUAUGCAACUCGUUGCAUAUUGAGCUCCACUUAACUUGUAUUAUUGUUUGUUGCACUUUGCCAUGCCAUGCCUCAUUAAACCGGACAUGCAUCAUACUUGUUUGUGCAUCAUGCCAUGAUUAUGCUUGUGUGUUUACCAUGUUGUUUGUUUCUUUCCGGUGUUGCUUCUUAGUUCCGGUAAUGUUGCGAUUGUGAGGAUUUGUUCGACUACGCCCGUUCAUCUCCUUCAUGGACUCGUUCUUCUUCCUUGCGGGAUUUCAGGCAAGAUGACCGCUACCCUGGAUCUCACUACUAUCAUUGCUAUGCUAGUUGCUUCGUUCUAUCGCUAUGCUGUGUUACCUAUCUUUUGCUCUUCAAGCCUCCCAAAUUGCCAUGAACCUCUAACCUUUGACACUCUUCCUAGCAAACUGUUGCUUGGCUAUGUUACCGCUUUGCUCAGCCCCUCUUAUAGCAUUGUUAGUUACAGGUGAAGUUGAAGAUUGCUCCAUGGUGGAUAGGGUUUUGGUUGGGAUAUCACAAUAUCUCUUAUAUUAUUAAUGCAUCUAUAUAUUUGGUAAAGGGUGGAAGGCUCGGCCUUAUGCCUGGUGUUUUGUUCCACUCUUGCCGCCCUAGUUUCCGUCAUACCGGUGUUAUGUUCCCGGAUUUUGCAUUCCUUACGCGGUCGGGUGAUUUAUGGGACCCCCUUGACAGUUCGCUUUGAAUAAAACUCCUCCAGCAAGGCCCAACAUUGACUUUUACCAUUUGCCUCACCACCACCUAUAUUUCCCUUGGGAGUAAUUAACCCAAGGGUCAUCUUUUUUUAGCCCCCCCCCCGGGCCAGUGCUUGUCUAAGUGUUGGUCCGAAUCGGGCAGACUGCGGGGCCACCUCGGGGCAACUCGAGGGUUGGUUUUACUCGUAGGCUGACCUAUCCGGUGUUGCCCUGAGAACGAGAUAUGUGCAGCUCCUAUCGGGAUUAUCGGCGCAUCGGGCGGCUUUGCUGGUCUUGUUUUACCAUUGUCGAAAUGUCUUGUAAACCGGGAUUCCGAGUGUGAUCGGGUCUUCCUGGGAGAAGAUAUAUCCUUCAUUGAUCGCGAGAGCUUAUCAUGGGCUAAGUUGGGACACCCCUGCAGGGUAUAAUCUUUCGAAAGCCGUGCCUGCGGUUAUUGGCAGAUGAGAAUUUGUUAAUGUCCGGUUGUAGAUAACUUGACACCAGAUUCGAAUUAAAACGCAUCAACCGCGUGUGUAGCCGUGAUGGUCUCUUCUCGGCGGAGUCCGGGAAGUGAACACGGUUUAUGGGUUAUGUUUGACGUAAAUAGGAGUUCGGGAUCACUUCUUGAUCAUUGCUAGCUUCACGACCGUUCCUUUUGCUCUGUUCUCGCUCUUAUUUGUGUAUGUUAGCCACCAUAUAUGCUUAGUCGCUGCUGCAACCUCACCACUUUACCCCUUCCUUUCCUAUUAAGCUUUGCUAGUCUUGAUACCCAUGGUAAUGGGAUUGCUGAGUCCUCGUGGCUCACAGAUUACUACAACAACAGUUGCAGGUACAGGUUAUGCGAUGAUCAUGACGCGAGAGCGAUGCUUGCUUGCGUUGGAGUUCUUCUUCUGUUUCUUCUUCGAUCAGGGGAUAGGUUCCAAGUCGGCAGCCUGGGCUAGCAGGGUGGAUGUCGUUUGAGUUUCUGUUUGUGUUUCAUCCGUAGUCGGAUGGUGCUCUAUGUAUUGUGAUGUUGUAUUCGUGUGGCAUUGUAUGCCUCUUGUAUGUAUCCACAUCUAUUAUAUAAUGUUGAUGUAAUGAUAUCCACCUUGCAAAAGCGUUUCAAUAUGCGGGUCUAUCCUUGGUGGGACCUUCGAGUUCCUUUUGGAUAGGGUCGCAUAUUGGGCGUGACAUCUCUAGACCAAUAAGUCCCUGGAAACAAACACCGUCUACGUGUGUGUCGUGGGGUUAGUGGCUGGUGUGAUGGCCGGGUCGUGUGUGUGCGUCCGGGUAUAAAAAGCCCUCCCAUGUAUUGAUUGAGGUGCGCCCGUUUGUUGCCGCGCCACGGUGACGGUAUGUGCCGAACCGAGGGGAAGGGGCCUAAGGAAGAUGUAGUCUUCAUCGGGACCGUGGUAUGCGCCUGGUUGAUGUGAGAGUUCUUCCGGGGUUGUGCUGCGUGUGUGUACCUCCAUGUAUGUGUGUUUGAGUAGUUGAGUUGAAUAGAAGCCAACAUACAGGCCGUUCGGCGGCCGGGGCGUUCGUCGCUGGAAAAUUCUGUUCAUCUUCUUCUACCUUCGUCCGGCGGUCGUCGUCGGAGGGCGGUUCGGCGUAUGUCCCCGGUGGGUUUGUCCCAACAUUUGGUAUCAUGAGCUUCGUUGUCUUGGGCGUCGUUCUCCUUGCCGGAGGAGUGCCGGCAGUGGCGGAGUUCGCCGGCGGCUGCGCGGUGCUCCGGGCCGUGUGUCGGCCUAUGGAGGUGCGCGGCGCUGCGACAGCGCGGCGAGGAGGCCGCGGAGGUCCUGCUUGGUGGCGCAGAGGCCGCGAAGGCGCGGCGGCAUUGUGUAGCACGGCGUCGGCCGCCCGAGCGCGUCGGCGUCGACGACGUGUGUUGCAGGCAGUGAAGGGAAUUGGCGUGCAUCGCCGGACACGAAGAAGAAGAAGAUGCAGCAGGGUUCACGUCUGAGAGGCUGUAGCGGCGGCCAUGGUGGCAACGAUGACGGGAGCUGCAGCGAGGACAACAGCGACGAUGUCAUGGCUUAGGAGGUGAGUGUUGGCAUAAGCCAUGCCAUGUGCGGUGGUGACUGGCGUUGGGCGCGCCAAGUGUGUGUCCGUGUAUGCGUGGGAGAGGCCGCCCGAGUCGUGUGUGCUGUGACAGUUCGUGCAUGCAUGUAGCUGGAUUAGUGGUCGCAGGUGGUGACCGAGCCACACGGGUCAUACGUGCAUCUAGUCUAGGUAGUUAGUAUAUGGAUGCAUGCAUGGGUGGUUAGCGUGUUAGCCGGCCAGUGGUGGUUGGAUUACUACAUGUGUGUCGUGGGGUUAGUGGCCGGUGCGAUGGCCGGGUCGUGUGUGCGCGUCCGGGUAUAAAAAGGCCUCCCAUGUAUUGAUGGAGGUGCGCCGGUUUGUUGCCGCGCCACGGUGACGGUAUGUGCCGAGCCGAGGGGGAGGGGCCUAAGGAAAAUGUAGUCUCCAUCGGGACCAUGGUAUGCGCCUGGUCGAUGUGAGAGUUCUUUCGGGGUUGUGCUGCGUGUGUGCGUGUGUACCUUCAUGUAUGUGUGUUUGAGUAGUUGAGUUGAAUAGAAGCCAACAUACAUGCCGUUCGGUGGCCGGGGCGUUCGUCGUUGGAAAAUUGUGUUCAUCUUCUUCUACCUUCGUCCGGCGGUUGUCGCCGGAGGGCGGUUUGACGUAUGUCGCCGGUGGGUUUGUCCCAACAGAACCAACCUCUCGUGGAUCAGCCAUGCGUAACCCUAGCGUCUGAUCCAAACUGUCCACACAUAGCGAUCUAAUGACAUGAAAGGGUGCGGGGUUUCAGGGGGGGUGGGGUUGAGGGGUUUUGAGAGGGUUUCAAGGGUUAAGGUUGAGCAUAAGUAAUUAAAAAAAUACAAAAAUAUGAAACAUGUGCAUCAUCGUUUUUAUGUGACUAAGUUGCUAGGAAAAAUAAGGAACUUGGUAUACGGAUAUUUUCAUGAAAAUCCCUUUACAGAACUUGGCUAUCAUGAAUGAGGUUGCAGUGUUUUCAAGGGAUAUGAGCUAGGGUUUAGGGUUAAGCAUGACAUAGUUUGUCCAAAUGAUCCCAUAUUGGGCAUGAACCCUAUAUUUGCACACUUUAUGUCAAGAUUUUUUUUCGCUCAUUUAGAGAAGGUCGAAAAAAAACUUGCAUAUAAUUGAUGUUGUUUACCCUAGCUUUGGAGCUCAUUUUUCAUGACUAUGAGUUUUACUUUCACAAAAGUGCUCGGAUUGAUCACCUCAAGUGCAUGAUAUUUGAAAAAGCAUCGAAACAUCAAUACACAUCAAAGUACAAAUUUGAAUUUUGGCUCAAAUUUGAAUAGUGUGUACCAAUAUACAUCAGAGUACAAAUAGCAUUACAUCACACAAGUUUCAAUACCACAAACCAAGAACAAGUUUGGACAAAAAGACGGGAAUACAUAGUGUGUACCAAUACACAUCAAAGUACAAAUAACAUUACAUCACACAAGUUGAUCCCCAUGUUUGUGCCAAAUAUGGUCACCUUAUUAUGAAAUAUUUUGAAAACUCCCUUGUUCGUAGGAAAAAUUAUAAACUUGAAAUACCAUAAAAUAAAAUAAAUUCUUCACAAAAUUGCCAAAUUUGAACUUGUGCACUAUUUAUAGAGAUUGUGCCAAAUCCUUCACUAUUUCUAGGAAUUUCUAUGAAGCAAGUAGCAGAAAUAUGAUAAAAUUGGCAAAAGUACAUUUUUGCGUCUUAUUUGUGAUAUUUGCUUCACCAAAAAAAACUUUAUUGGAAGUUGAAAAAUGAUUUUUAUUGUAACAAAUUUGGAAACUCCCUCUUUUGAAAGCUAUCUUUUUAGUGUUCAUUCUUAAAUACAAUUCUCUGAAAAUUGUGAGCAAUUUUUAUUAAAUUAGUAAGGUAAAUAGGGAUUUAUAGACAUUUUUUGCUAGAGUUGGACCAAGAGGGAAUUUGAUUAGGAAUUUCUAAAGAAGUCCUGUAUAUAUCAAAUAUAGAUUUAAAUCAAAGAUACAUAGAAAAACUUCAUGUAUAAUUAUGAAAAUUGGAUAUUAAAUAGGUCUGGAGAUCUGAUGAAUUUAUGAACUUGAAUCAACUCAACUAGAUUUAAAAUGAAUGUUCUAUGAAUUUAUAAAAUUGACUAGAAUUGCAAAAAGGUAUUCGAUACUGUUCAGGCGGGCUAAACAGAUCGACCCAAUUACUUAAAAUACCAAUCUGGCGCGCUUAAGGAGAUACGCACACAUGUCACACUGGCUCGACCCAGCUUUGUCUCUACGGGCUGGGAUGCGACGUCAAUGGCACACUAUUGAGGUGGUCCCACUCGUUAGGAUGUCAUCCAAGUAACAGUAAAUGGGCUUUUAUCCAACGGAAUGCAUCGUUUGGGCAUUUGCGAGGCCGGGGCCUAGUAAAGAGGGGAAAAGUGAGGAACGUGAAGGUGGCAGAGCAAAACUAAGUAGAACUAAAGAAUCAGGGGCACCAAAAUAGAAAGCCCUAAAUCCUAUGAACGUGCUCCUCGAUGAUCACGUAGACACUUCUCAAAUUGCUCAUGGUCGUAUGUUAAUACUAUUUGAGUCUAUUUUAGUUACGAUUUAUCUUAAAUUUAUAAUAGUGAGACUCAGCUGCCUCCUACUCCUCCAAAACAAAACCUAGGGUUCCUGCCUCUCGCCGGCACCACCGCAGGUCCGCCUCGCCUCCGGUGGUCCUAGGCAGGGCCGGCCCUGAGGGGGGGCAGGGGGGGUGGCCGCCCCGGGCCCCCAACAUCGAGGGGUCCCCUCUCAAGUAAAGUAGCCCAGGGAUUCUCCCCAAAAAAAGAAGCGACUAGGACUGGGUCGUAGCAUGGCUUCAGGCCUUUUGCAUGUUCAGCUUCAUAUGGCCCAAGUGGAUUGCUGGGCUAGGUAGUCAUGCAUGUACGCAUUAUUUCUCGGAAACAAAAACGCACGCACUAUGGCUGAUCGAUUAAAUCAGAUCAGAUCAGAUCAGCUCGAAGAGGGGCAAUGUAUCACGCACGGCGUUGGCGAUCGAGGGAACGAAUUCCGCUUCAGGCCGAACGCCCUUGCCAUCACCUGAUCGCCGUCUAGUCUCGCCUCUCGCGACCUUCAUGCGCAGCAGUAGCCAAGAGACGAGAGGGGACAAGGCCUGCUUAGACUGGAUCAGAAUCUAUCAGUUGAUUUUUAAAUCCGUGUUCUACAGCUCUAAGGUAGCCUCUCUGGUAGUCCCUAGUUCCUAAAUUUGUUGUUUGUUAAUUGAAGUCGAUGCCCAGAAUUGUUUUUCACAAUCCAAUCAUUGGAUAGGAUUAGUGUGUUGAAAACUGCACUAUCUGUGCUUCAUUUAAAGAUGACACAAAAAUUAAUUUUGUAAUUGUUGUGGAUUGCAUUCCAAUCGAACCCAAUUUGCUCAGUUUGGAUUAAUGGUUGCUGAGGUAUCACCAGAAUGGUGCUGCUGUACAAGUAUUUUCAAAGUUGAGCAGAUAUUGUUUUUGCGACUUUUAACAAAUUUCUAUUCGCAAGAACUAGUCUAUAUUCAGAUAUGACCAGUUUCUUAUUACAACAUGCAUGAAAGACGUAGAUAACUUCAUGUUGAAUAUCCUGAUUUUCUUAUUUUCUUCAUUUUGUAAAAUGGAUCAUGAUUUGUAGCCUAGAAAUUCAUAUAUGACGUGCUUUGGAGUUCAAAUUAAAUGGAGAAUCCAAGCUAUGCUUGUAUAUUUACCUAAUAAUAAUUAAUGGGCUAGCUCUAGGAGAUAUUUAUACAUAUACUAUUAGGUAUUAGGAUGUUCAAGAGCCAAGAACAAUACAUAAAAAUUUUAUGUUUAUAUUAAAGGGGCCUCGGGUUUUACUUUCGCCCCGGGCCCCCGAAUUGUCAGGACCGGCCCUGGUCCUAGGGCCAUGGGGGACGCGGUGGAUCCUGACAAGGGCCGGCGGAAGGGCUCCGUUUUUAGUCGCUUCUUUCAGUUGGGUUUGUGUCCUGUUCAGGAAGACGAAAUAGUGGCGGCUCCCUAAAGAUGAAAUAAAGGUCUCCCCGCCUAGUCCCUGUUCCGACGGUGCGUCUAGCAUCGUUGGUGGGCGUGUGAAGGCGUAUUUUCGGCGAAUCUACCUUUGGUGGAUUUGCUUGGAUCUCAUCGUUUUUUGUCCACGUUUGUGUGUCUCCGGUUUGGAUCCUUCUGAUCUACAUUAUUUUUCAUCGGCGGCGGUUGCUGUUCUGGUGUGUUGGUCCUAUGCGGCCUUAGCACGACGACUUACCGACUAUCUACUACAAUAAGUUGUGCCCAACUCCGGCAAUGGAGUGGUGAUGACGGCAGCGUGCCUUCGGCUCGCUUCAAUACUUAUAGUCGUCGCUAGGUGGUCUAGGAUCUGGUUGUAAUUUUUAUUAUUUUCGGUGUUCGUCGUACUGCCAUGAUUGAUGAUGAUUAGAUCAAAAGUUUUCUUGCAAAAUAGAUAAAUAAUACUCCCUCCGUAAAUUAAUAUAAGAGCGUUUAGAUCACUGCUCACUUAGGUCGGCUAACGAGGAGUAAUAGUGAGACUCAAGCUUCCAUAGCGAUUCGGUACCCUUAGCCAUUCUAUUGGAUCUUCAAUGCUCCAGAUUUAGGUUUGUGAACCACCAUCGCCCCAACGCUUAUUUGGCCCUCGUUCACCUCGUUAGCCGACCUAAGCAGGUCGGAUGAACGUCAAAAGGCGAAAUCACGGAGAGCACUCCAACUCUCCCAGGUUGCGACAAGUGGCACGAGAUCACUCCAACUUCCCCAGCUUGCGUCAAGUGAGGUGCUGUAUGAGUGCCACUUGUCGCAACCUGGGAGUUUUUCCUUUUUUUGUAGAUCAGAUUAUUUAAAACGUUUUAUCUUUUAAACCAUGCGUUCAAAUCUCCAACCGCUUUCGCCGUUGGAUUUCUCGCGUCGAGAUCUUCAAAACUAGAUCCCAUGUUGAUAGGUCUUGACGAACUUUUUUUUCAUGAAAAAACCGGACGAAAAAACCCGAUGAAAAAACCGAACCGGGAACACGGUUUUUUUUCCUUUUCGAAAGAGGCACACCCAUGCCUCUGACGAAAUCACAACCUUGCCUCUCGCGGAAAAAAAACCGUGCCUCUCGCGAAAUACAAAAAACAGAAAACGUGUUUUCCCUUUUCGAAAGAGGCACGCCCGUGCCUCUCGCGAAGCACAACCGUGCCUCUCGCGGAAGCAAAACUGUGCCUCUCGCGGAAGGAAAAAGCCCAGAAAACACGUUUUUUUCCCUUUCCAAGAGAGGCAGGCCCGUGCCUCUCGCGAAAGCACAACCGUGCCUCUCGCGGAAGCAAAACCGUGCCUCUCGCGAAAGGAAAAAAAAACAGAAAACAUGUUUUUUUUCGUUUCCAAGAGGCACGGCCGUGCCUCUCACGAAAGCAGAACCGUGCCCUCGCGAAAACAAAACCGUGCCUCUCGCGAAAAAAAUACGUUUUUUUGCGCAAAAAUAUUAUUUUUUUUUCAAAAUUAUUUUUUGUCGAAAAGCUAGGGAAGACCGGUGGAAAACCAAAACAUAAAAAAACCCGGAGAAAAACCGUUUAAAAAGCCGAAAACGCGUGCGGAAAAAUAAAAAAACAAAAGCCGAAGGGAGCGCCCAGAGCGCGACACGUGGCGAAUGGCUGAGAGCGCGCCAAAUAACGCUGAUCGUUAUGAGGCUCCCGAAGAAGCGCUCGUUAAUUAGUUGCUCCCGUCAAAGGUACGCUGCUCCGAACACUUACGUCAAUGUCAAUGGUUUUUGCUCGUCAACGCCCAUGUGAACGCUCGGUUUGGCCGGCCCAUUAAGCAUCCUUCGACCGCUCACUCGCUUGAUCACUAACCAGCUCGCUCGCUCGUUUGAUCGCUGGACCGGCUCGCUCGCUCGCUUGAUCUGUAGACAAAUUUGCUUGCUCACUUUCUAUUGGUUCGGAGAAACCAGUGAUAUUCUUUGGGGGGAAAACCAAGUCCCGGUUUUUAUGGGCUAAAAAACAUAAAUUAAAAAAAUAUUUGUUGAUUUGAAAAAAGUUCAUCAUGGUGAAAGAGUUCACAAAUUUGAAAAAUAAUUUCGUGGAUAUGAAAAUAGUUUGUGAAUUUCGACAAAAUUUCAUGAAUUUUGGAAAUGUCCAUGAGUUUUUAAGAAUUAUUUGUUUUUUUUCAAGAAUUUAGAAAAAUCUUUCCGAAUUCAAAGAAGUUCAUGAAUUUGAAAAUACUUCUGAAUUUGAAAAAGGUCCAGGAAUUAAAAUAAAAAUGAAAAUGAUAAUAAAAACAAUCUGAAAUAAAAAAAGGAAAAUAGGAAAAAAAACAGGAAAAAAUACUAAAAGAGACUAAAUAGAAAAAAGAAGAAAACCAAAAAAGCACAGGCACAAUCUUCUAGAAUGUUCACAAAACCUUUUUUUUAGAAACACCGGUAAUUUUAUGCAUACUCAUAACAAUUGAAGGUACACUGAUUUGGAUCUAAGAUCCAAGAAAAUACAAAGUAACUCCGAUGACUAAGUGUUACAAUGACACCUCUUGAAAACACCUUCUUCAAGGUAACAAUCUUUGCUCGAAGAAAUACUUCAAAGACUUCGAUAAAGAUACUGCAAUUGGACUGAAGCAACAAUUUUGUCACUCUUUUACCUACACGAACAUUACCAAUAAUGAUUUUUAAAGGUGCCACUGUUUCGGGCGUUUUCUCAUGAACCGGGCUGCUGUGGGCCGAGUGGCUGCCGAAGUGCUAUGAUCGGGCUGCUGAUCGUUGAUCUUUUUUUUUUAGCCACCGAUGUAGAAGAACACAAAUGUUGCAUGUGACCAACGUGCCUAAAAGAACGUCUUUCAAAAAUAUGUCGUUCAAGGACCUGUAAUAAUAGGCUGUUCAAAAAAGGACAUGAAAUAGUGUUGUGGAGGGAGAGACCCGUGUGUUGUAGCAGAGUGAAACUCGGGCCUGUGUGCUGGACCUUGUAGCAAUGAUUUGGCUUUGGAUAUCAUUUAGCUCUGUUUCCAAGUUACAAAUAAAACAUCCCAAAAAAACUUGUGGCUAACAAGAACUUGUUUAAACUCGUAAAUGUGUGCAUACUACAAUGCAAGUUGAUAUUAGACAUUGAUUGCAUGUACUCCUCCGUCCCAAAAUAAGCGUCUUAACUUUUACUAGUUCUAAUAUAAAUUUAUACUAAACUCAAGACUAGGGCUGGAAAAAAAGCUCGAAGCUCGCGAGCUAAAUGAGUAGCUCGUGGCUCGGCUCGAAUCGACUCGAACUCGAAGAAUAACGAGUCGAGUCGAGCUUUAGUUUAAGAUCGUUUAUAGACCAAGUUGAACGAGCCAAUCUCACGAGUACUCGUGUAACUCGUUAGGCUCGAUACAAAAGAUCAGCCACUCCCAAAACAAAAAAAAAUCAGCCACUCAGCACUCUAUGUCUCAGGCGCACAACACAAGGCCUAGCCGUUGAAGGCCCAAUCGCCUAGGAGACUCAUGCGUUAUAAGGAAACUAUUAUUGUUUAGUGAUAUAUAUGUUUAAUAUAUACAUAAUCAUUUUUAUAAUAUAUGAGGGUUUUAUGAUCAUAUCUUUAACGAGCUUAACAAGCUAAACGAGCCAGCUCGUGAGUUAUACGAGUCGAGCCAAUCUUGAAUUUGAGCUCGUUAUAAUAACGAGUCGAGUCGAGCUAACUCGUUAACGAAACGAGCUCUAGCGAGUCGAGCCGAGCUGGCUCGACUCGGCUCGAAUUCCAGCCCUACUCAAGACACUUAUUUUGGGACGGACGGAGUACAUUUUAGCUAGUAGUAGAUAUUAUUUGCGUGUUAAUUAUGUAAUUACCUAACAAAGAUAUUUGGUAUGGUGCAAAUUGCAUGCAUUAGGGCGGAUAUUAUUUGGUAUGGUGCUAAUUGCAUGCAUUACUAUUAUUUACGCAUUAAUUAUGUGAUUGCCACCGACGUCGAUAAUUUGUAUGAUAUUAAUUAAAUGUUAGGGCAUCUCCAAGGCGGAUCCGUAAACCUCAUGUAACCAUUCAGACCGUGCUUUCCGGACCGCGGAAGCCGUCCAACGCCAUCCUUUAUCGGUCCGCGGGACGGUCCAGAAGCGAUUAUCCGGCAAAACGGAGACAAAAGUGUGGGAGGUUUACGAGAGUCCGUACACGCGAAACGUACGAAUCCGACACCCCAGGCCCACCCAAAACCCUUUCCUGACCCCGCGACUCCAUCCUUCCUAUUUUCUCUCCUUCCUCCUUUCUCUUUUGCUGUCACCGCCGCUCCACUACCCCGACCACCACGCCACACCCCUGUCGAAAAUCUGCGUCUGCAUCAAUAAAUUCGGCGCCUAAUUAUAUUUCUUUACGGAGGGAGUACCUUAUUAGAAAUCAUACAUGUUGUGCCGCUUAUUCGAAUAUAUUACCAAAUGUUCUACUUAGACAAUUUUUUUUGCACAAUGACAUUCCAAUGCUUUUUUUUGACAAAAAUGACGUUCCAAUCCUUAUUUAUAUGUCGGUGUCACAUGUGUUAAUUUUGCAACGUAUACAUAACAUUACCCAUUAGGAUUGAGCCUCUAUCUUUACUGUAAGCCCUACGAUAUUUGACAAUCCAUCGUACACCAUUGGACAGUUUGUUUUUUUCAAAGGGCAUCCGAUGCUAUGUAGUUCUAAGCUUAUUUCUAGUUACUCGCAAGACUCCGACAGAGUAUAUCAUGUGGAAUUUCUUGUUCUUAUGGUUAGGAUGAACCGUUGCAACCUCUCGCAAUAAAUAAUUGUGCAAAAAAAAUUAUGAUCAUCACAAUAAUAUUAGGUCUUGGGACCAUGACUUAUUACAUAAUCAGUUUAUCCACUCUACAUAAAGCAGGGGACUCACAUAGACACAUGCAUAUUGGAUACUACAUUAUGGAAGGCGUGCAUGCAUCCCUAACCGAUCACACCCUUAGCUCCACCUGGGGCUCUACACGAAGUUGCUAACCUGAAAGGACUGGUCGAACGUGGCUGCAUGCUCACUGCCAGUAAACCUGAGCUUGUCACCGACGCGUUGAACCUUUUGAAAUGCAAGAAAAUCCCAUUUCACCUAUAUCCUCACGCCGCCCAAUUGGGUUAUGGAUCCGGGCCGGAUAACCCCACUGAUUAUGAUGUCAAACCGAAUCGUGUGUUGUCCGCCAGCAACCGUCACGUUGAAGUCGCACGAGGCGGGGAGGGUCACCUCAACGGCGCCCCCAUGGUUCACGUACGACUUCACGCCCAGAGCCAGGAGAGCCUGCGGGAAGUUGUUUUUCACCAAAGGUUGUACGCUGUGUCGCAGGUGGCCGCUUGGAGGAUGGAAGCCAU